CCUACGGGUGGCAGCAGUGAGGAAUAUUGGUCAAUGGGCGGGAGCCUGAACCAGCCAAGCCGCGUGAGGGAAGAAGGUACAGCGUAUCGUAAACCUCUUUUGUCAGGGAACAAAGGCGGGGACUAGUCCCAGGAUGAGGGUACCUGAAGAAAAAGCAUCGGCUAACUCCGUGCCCGAAGCCGCGGUAAUCCGGAGGAUGCCAGAGUUAUCCAGAUUUAUGGGGUUUAAUGGGUGCGCAGGCGGCCUGUUAAGUCAGCGGUAAAAGCCCGGGGGUCAACCCCGGCGAGCCGGUGAAACUGGCGGUCUGGAGUGGGAGAGAAGUACGCGGAAUGCGCGGGGUAGCGGUGAAAUGCUUAGAUAUCGCGCAGAACCCCGAUUGCGAAGGCAGCGUACCGGCUCCACACUGACGCUGAGGCACGAAAGCGUGGGUAUCGAACAGGAUUAGAUAACCGUGUAGUC
Molecule: ribosomal RNA, 459 nt
Filed under: uncultured bacterium
Lineage: Bacteria
Description: partial 16S ribosomal RNA
Rfam family: Bacterial small subunit ribosomal RNA
Source: RNAcentral